GGUCCAGGCGGCGCAUUACCCGGCUCGCGAGUUUAAGCAUAUCAAUACGCGUGAAGGAACAGAGUAGACUUCACAAGCGAUUCCCUAGUAACGCGCGAGCGAACCGAACAGCCCAGCCUUAGUAAUCGGCACGGCCCCGCCGUUUCGAAUUGUUAGUUUCUAGCUUCGAGAAAGGCGUCUCAGCGCGUGACCGGGCCCAAGCUCCCUGGAAAAGGGGCGUCGGAGAGGGUGCAGAGCCCCCGUCGUGCCCCGACCCUGUCGCCACCACGUAGCGCUGCCUCUACGUGUAGUCGGACGUUGUUGGGAAUGCCAGCCCCAAUUUUUUUUCGGGGCGCGGUGACUGAAUUCCGCCUCAAGCCUAAAUGAGCGCGGCGAUGAGACCGAUAGGCGAAACAAGCUUACCGCGAGGUAAGAGCGAUGACAUAAUAGCGACUUUUGAAAAGAGACGGUCACAGAGUGCGCCUUGAUAAUUUGUUCGGUCCCGAACUGGCAAGGCGGGCAUGAGGGAGGACCGGCCGCAUGCGCUCCCGGUAGUAAUAGUGCGAACGCGUGCAGAGCCGGUCCGGCGGAUCUACUCGGGGGCCGCGGACCAGCGCAAGGCAUUCGGGGCGGCGGCCAAAAGCCCGGCCUUUGAUCACGCCCGCGGCAACGUCGUCGUCUUGGAUCGUGGGAAGCAGCGCGCGCCCUAUGGCGUGCCUCGGGCAACCUGCGCUGCGCUCUUGUCGGGUCUCUGCCUCUCUAUUUCCGACCCGUCCUGAAACACGGACCAAAGGUGUCACAUGUGUGCGAUGGCCAACUCGGUAAUAAUGAUUUGCGCUCCGGGGUGCGGCUGGCCGAGUGAACCCGUAAGGCCGCAAGGAAGCUGAUUGGCGCGGAGUCCCCUUCACGCGGGCCGCUGCACCGUCGCGACCGACCUUGCAUCUUCUUGUAGAAGCCGGUUCGAGUGGCGAGCACUACCUGAUUCGGACCCGAGAUUGGUGAACUAUGCCUGAGCGCAGGGCGAAGCCAGAGGAAACUCUGGCUGCGAGGCCGCACGCCGAUACUGACGUGCAACAUCGUUCGUUCUGACUUGGGUUAUUAGGCGCGCCGAAAGCACUAAUCGAACCGUCUAGUAGCUGGCUUCACUCCGAAGUUUCCCUCAGGAUAAGCUGGAGCCUGGCGCGCAGAGUUCUAUCGGGGUAAAAGCCCACAUGAUUAAAGAGGCCAUCGGGGAGCGUAACGCCCCUCGACCUAUUCUCAACUUAUCAAAUAGGUAGGAGCGGCGCGGCUCUGCUCGUUGAGCGCCGCCACGGAAUCAACAGCCCUCCACAGUGGCCCCAUUUUUGGUAAGCAGAACUGCGAUGCGGGAUGAACCGGCAAAGCCGGGUUACGGUGCCCAACUGCGCGCCUAACCUUAGAUUCCCACAAAGGGCUGUUGGUCGAUUAUUAAGACAGCAGGACGGUGCGUCAUGCGAGUCGAAAUCGCUAUAGGAGUGUGUUCCACGAUUGUAAACGAACUCACCUGCCGGAAUCAACUAGCCCCGAAAAUGGAUGGCGCUAAGCGCGCGACCUGAUACCCCGGCGUCGGGGCAAGGAGCUACGGCCCCGAAUUGAGUAGGUGAGGCCGCGGCCCGGUCGCUGCAAAACUUGGUGACCGCCGGCAGCCCGGGGCGGAAAUGCGUCGCUGUCCUGCCCAAGAGUGCAGAUCCUUGGUUUUAGCCUAGUAAGCAAACUAUGUCAAAUGUAGAACUCUUGAAGGCCGCAAGGCCAGGUUGGAAAUCCCCUGCGUUCCAUGUUGUAACGGACACCGUUGCACAUGGGUUAGCGAUCCUAAGGGAAUACAGGCGGGAGCCCCGACAGACCAGGCGCGUUUUGCGCGUGCGCGAAAGGAGAAUCGGCCCACCCUCGCCUGUUUAAAAUUCCGAACCGGGACGUUGGAGCGGUUUGACAGCAACGUUUAGCGGGAUUCCUAUGGGACCGACGUCAGCGGCAAGGGUUAAGCGCAAGCUCACUUAUGGGCCGGUAACGAUUUAAGUCUUUUCUGCUUCAAACAAAGCCUGCCCACCCGUAGCACACGGACCUCAAGCCGGAAGCGCACUCAGGGCUCCAGCGGUGUGCGCGAAGAACAACCACACGUCGCGUAUGUGCCGUGUCCGCUCGUGCCGCCCGGCGGCCUUGAAAAUCCGCGAGCGAGCGAGUGCCGGUUCCACGCGGCCGCGUCGCACCUACUCAUAACCGGCAUCAGGGUCUGCCAUAGGUGAACAGCCUCUGGCCAAUGCGAAAUCAAUGCAGGCCCAAAGGGAACUGGAAGCUCUCGCGCAAAAGUGGAUCCGCCUAACUUCGCGGAAAAGGAUGGCUCUGCAGGGCUGCGGCACGGGGGGUCCAGCUCCGAACCCGUCGGCUGUUCGGAGCCGACCUGCUCGAGCUGCUACCGCGGAGAGCGGGCCGUCGCCGCGUGCCGGCCGGGGGACGGACUGGGAACGGCUCUUUCGGGCCUUCCCGGGGUCCAACAGGCCAACUCAGAAACUGGCUACGGACAAGGGGGAAUGCCGACUGUGUUUUAAUUAAAACAAAGCAUUGCGAUGCGUCCCUGCCGUGUGAUGCUGAUUUACGCAAUGUGAUUUUUCUGCCUCAAGAUUUGCUGCUGAAUGGUCAUAAGGUGAAGAAAUUCAACCAAAGCGGGGGUAAACGGCGGGAGUAAAACUAUGAACUCGUCUAGGCGUAGCCAAAUGCCUCGUCGAUCUAAUUUAGGCUGUUGCCCACAAGCGCUAAAUAUGAAUUGGAUUCCCUAUUAAAUCGAGGCAGUUUCCCACUGUGUCCCUGUCUACUGUAUUCCAGCGAAAACUCACAGCACAACUGGGAACGGCGCUUUGACAUGAAACAUCAGGAGCGGGGCUAAAGAAAUGUGACCUCCUGUUGAGCCUUUCGACUCUAGUCCGACUUUGUGAAAUGCCUUGAUAUGAGGUGCUUUAGGAGUAACGUGCCUGGCAGCCGAAAGGCGAAAGUGAGAAUUACCAUACUACUUUCUUAACGUUAUUUUACAUUAUUCUCCGUGAUUGCGGAGCCGGGGCAUUGCCCCUCUUUUUUUGACCACAGGCUCGCUUGCCGGGCCGAUCCGGGCGCAAGACAUUGUCAGUGGGGAGUUUUGGCUGGGGGGGACAACAGUACUGUUAAAGAUAACGACAGGAUAAUAGGACACGUUGUCGUUCACAGAGAUUAAGUAGCUCCCUCAACGGGUGCACAGAAAUCUCCGUGUGGAACAGAAGCGGUACUAAAGCUCGUUUGAUCUAUGAUUUCCAGCUACGAAUUUACGAACCUGUGAAAGCGGUGUUGGGGCUUCCACUACAACGUAUCUCUUUAUUACCUCUCGCGAAUUCGCAAGCUAGAGUGUGAGCAUGGUAUACUGUCAUAAAAGUUACCCACAGGGCAUAACUGGGCUCUAGUUGGAGGUAGCCAAGCCUUCAUAGCCCGACUGUUGCUUUUCUGUGAUUCCUUCUCAUGGUCGCGCUCUUCCUAUCAUAUGUGAAGCAGAAUUCACCAAGUGUUGGAUGCUUCACCCACCAAUAACAUGGGGAACGUGAGGCUGGGUAUUAGACCGUCGCUGAGACAGGGUUACGUUUACUCCCUUACAACUUGUCUGAGACAGUAGUCACUUGUCGCAAUCAAGCUAGAUUCAACCUAAGUACGCAGAGAAACCCGCUUGAUUUCGCCACAAUUGUUCAUGUCGCGCUUUUUUGGGAUUGAAAAGCCGAGUGGGCGCGAAGCUACGCUUGCGUGUGGAUGUAUGACUGAAGCGCCUCUAAGUCAGAAUCCGCGGCUAGACGACGCCAUGCGCUCGUCGCCUCGUUUGCGACCGCCAUAGGGGUCAUUUGGCCCCAAGGCGGCACGUGUCGUUGGCUAACGCCGUCGUGGUCGAAGAAACGUUAGGUCACGGUGGCGGCCGCCUUGAAUUACAAUUCCGAUGUCGAAGCGGCGAGCUGAAUCCUUUGCAGACGCUUAAAUAAAUGAUUCCU
Ipomoea nil (Japanese morning glory) is the source of this 3992-nucleotide ribosomal RNA. It matches the Rfam family "Eukaryotic large subunit ribosomal RNA". The record is from Rfam. Lineage: Eukaryota; Viridiplantae; Streptophyta; Magnoliopsida; Solanales; Convolvulaceae.